This 1121-nucleotide long non-coding RNA is filed under the name Homo sapiens (human). RNAcentral's name for it is "HSALNT0402894". The record is from RNAcentral. Lineage: Eukaryota; Metazoa; Chordata; Mammalia; Primates; Hominidae.
AAUCUUUCAGAAAGGACUGUGAUGAGAUAUGCUUAGAAGCACAAAAUCUUCCCUCUCUUUCCAAAGGCCAUGCUCUGCUCAACACAAUUUCUAUUGCUGUUUAUUUUUUUGUAUUAUUUCUCAGUGUUUCUUUUAGUGCUUUCUGAGUUACUUGAUUUUAUAGACCCUUUACAACUCAGGAAAGGCCAUUUUCUACUCUUUAGACCCUUUCAGAAAUAAUAAGAUGACAUUGCACAACCAUUUUUUCUUUGUUGUGCUUCUAUUCUUAUGGCAACUUCUUGUUACAGCCAAAGCUUAAUUGCUCCACUGAAACACUGGCAACAAAAAUCGUCUUCUCUUCUCCCUUUGUGAAAAAGGCUUUCACUUAAUGUGGAGAAAGGUAUUAUAUACCAGGGAAAUGGAACUUUGUAUAAAUGAUUUUCCCCCAAGAGGAACUAAAGCAUUUGGAAGGUAUCUGAAUUCAGAUGAGGACCUAAUUUAUUACUGAGGACCUAAUCUACGGGAGGUGCAAAGAAGAAUGAAAUAUUGUGUCUGCCUGUGAUGCACAUUGCUUAAUAUGAAUACUAAGAAAAAUAGUCAUCUGUUUCUGUUCCUGUCCCCCUCACUGCAAGGUGAUUUCUUUGGGGUUCUAGUACUGUUUUACACAUAUCACUUCCUAGAGUCAGUAUGGUCAAUAAAUACAUUCAAUCUCAACAGCAGGCCAAAAAUACAUCUGGAGGAAAAAGUAGAUGUGUCAUAUGAGAACUACAAAUAAAAUUCAAUGAUUAUUCACAGGAGAAAGAUUGCAUAAGGUGAGAGUAGGGAGAAGAAAUGUGCUUGGCUAGAGGAUUAGCAGGUAUUUAAGAAGCUAAGCAGUAUAAUUUAGGUUAUCUAACAAAGCCAUUUAUGUAAUAGUCUUAUUCCACUGUAAAAACACUAAAACCCUUUCAAGUCCUAACAUGAUAUUCUAGCUCCUCCUUCCUCUCAAGCAGAUUUUGAUGUGCAUAAUUCUGGUUUUGGAAUAACAUGCCCUCUGAGAACACAGUAAAAAAAGAAAGGAGUCUUUCAGAAGCCACACAGGCCCAAUUUUCCAUAGUAUAAUGAAGUCGCAAUGUCACUGCCAUUUCUCCACUUCUGCAGGG